This 163-nucleotide long non-coding RNA is filed under the name Propithecus coquereli (Coquerel's sifaka). RNAcentral describes it as "Prostate androgen-regulated transcript 1 conserved region 3 (ENSPCOG00000000506.1)". It matches the Rfam family "Prostate androgen-regulated transcript 1 conserved region 3". Lineage: Eukaryota; Metazoa; Chordata; Mammalia; Primates; Indriidae. The record is from RNAcentral.
CUUCGUAAAGUAUCUGAGACAAACAAGAAAGGAAUAUAAUGUCUCACCUCACCCCAUUGCUACUCCAGAGAAGAAAAAAGGUUUCCCUGCAGUAGAGGAGAACAAAGAUGGGGAGAAAAGAAUGGCUGCAUCUGGCAUCCAGGCCGAAGAGUCCAUGCAGGGA